UAAACUUGACAAUAUAUUCAAUUACGUUAGAGCCAAACCUUAAUGUUAGAUGUACAGUACAGUUAUUUUUAAGGUCUCUGCAAAAUGAAAACAUAAAAUGGCCCAUGGAUGUGGUUUCCUCUUAUCAAGCAGCGACAUACAGUUUAUUUCCCUCUCCGAUUUUUGCAUAUUAUCAGACCCACACCCCUCAGAUGAGAAAGAGAGCCACAGUGCAUUACUGCCACUUGCUUAAGUCUGUUGCUCCUUCGCCGCAUCACCAGAAAACCGCCUCCAGCAAGCCCUGCAGUCCUGACCGAUCACACCCGUCACAUCAGGGACAACAAAAUGGGAAAUGUCCACACUGCAUUGCAAAUGAGCAACUACAGCAACAGGAAUGUACGUGUUUUCCUCACGAAAGAAUCUCUGGGGAUGAACGGCUUCAUCUCCUCCGAGCACGGGGGGGAUGAUAAGAUCUCGUCCCCGCUUCCCCAGGACGAGAAGUUCAGCUUCAGGAAAAACAUGGAGUGCGUCCGUGUGCUGGCCUCUCAGACUCGGGAAGUGCCCUGGGAGAGUCAACACUUUGUGUCCCUGUUUGUGGAGGAUGACGACGAUGAGAACAUUUGUUCCAGACAAAUCAUUGUCAACAUGGCCCUGAGUGCUCCAGUUACUGUGCUUCUCUAUGAUGUGUAGAAUUGUGUAGCUGUUCAUUAUUCUCUGCACACACAUACACACACACUUGCAGGCCUAUCAUAAAGUGAAAUUGUGUCUUGUCACUGUAAUAAUAGUUGAUGAUGGAAUUUUCACUGCUGUUAACAAAGGAAUAAAAUUGCCACUCAGCUCCAAGAUUC
Long non-coding RNA from Hippoglossus stenolepis (Pacific halibut), 827 nucleotides. RefSeq lists it as uncharacterized. NCBI's taxonomy places the organism in Eukaryota, Metazoa, Chordata, Actinopteri, Pleuronectiformes, Pleuronectidae. The transcript is spliced from 2 exons. The record is from RefSeq and is a predicted model, not a curated record.